GGUCAAUUUAGAGGAAGUAAAAGUCGUAACAAGGUUUCCGUAGGUGAACCUGCGGAAGGAUCAUUACAGUAAAUUGGGUUGUCGCUCAAAGCAGCACGCCCUCCACAUACACACACCUUGUGCACCUUAUAUCUAUUACAGCCUGUCUCUAAUGCAUGUCUUGAUCAUUCUACGGAAUACAAUACAACUUUCAACAACGGAUCUCUUGGCUUUCGCAUCGAUGAAGGACGCCGCGAAAGUGCGAAACGUAAUGUGAAUUGCAGAAUUCAGUGAAUCAUCGAAUCUUUGAACGCAUCUUGCGCUCCUUGGUAUUCCGAGGAGCAUGCCUGUUUGAGUGUCGUGAACCUAGCUCAAUCCCACUCCCGUGGGCUUGGAUUUGGAUGCUUGCUGUGAGGGGGGCUGACCCUCUUUCGGCUCGUCUUGAAAUGCAUCAGCUGGGUCUGCCGCUGAGUUUGGUGGGUGUGAUAAGAAACACUUUGUAGCGCCAUUUCUAAACUCGGAGGGCUGACUGCUCCCAAUGUCAUGUCAUUUGACCUCAAAUCAGGUAGGACUACCCGCUGAACUUAAGCAUAUCAAUAAGCGGAGGAAAAGAAACUAACAAGGAUUCCCCUAGUAACGGCGAGUGAAGCGGGAAGAGCUCAAAUUUGUAAUCUGGCAGUCCUUUGGCUGUCCGAGUUGUAAUCUGGAGAAGUGUUUUCUGUGCCGGACCGUGUACAAGUCCCUUGGAACAGGGCGUCAUAGAGGGUGAGAAUCCCGUCUUUGACACGGACUCCCGGUGCUUUGUGAUGCGCUCUCGAAGAGUCGAGUUGUUUGGGAAUGCAGCUCAAAAUGGGUGGUAAAUUCCAUCUAAAGCUAAAUAUGGGCGAAAGACCGAUAGCGAACAAG
Molecule: ribosomal RNA, 885 nt
Filed under: Clavariadelphus subfastigiatus
Lineage: Eukaryota; Fungi; Basidiomycota; Agaricomycetes; Gomphales; Clavariadelphaceae
Description: eukaryotic LSU rRNA
Rfam family: Eukaryotic large subunit ribosomal RNA (bases 531-885)
Source: RNAcentral